AUUGAACGCUGGCGGCAGGCCUAACACAUGCAAGUCGAGCGGAUGAGUGGAGCUUGCUCUAUGAUUCAGCGGCGGACGGGUGAGUAAUGCCUAGGAAUCUGCCUAUUAGUGGGGGACAACGUUUCGAAAGGAACGCUAAUACCGCAUACGUCCUACGGGAGAAAGCAGGGGACCUUCGGGCCUUGCGCUAAUAGAUGAGC
RNAcentral lists this ribosomal RNA (200 nucleotides) under uncultured bacterium. RNAcentral describes it as "partial 16S ribosomal RNA". It matches the Rfam family "Bacterial small subunit ribosomal RNA", at positions 30 to 230 of the family's 1533-position model. The record is from RNAcentral.